RNAcentral lists this ribosomal RNA (484 nucleotides) under uncultured bacterium. RNAcentral's name for it is "partial 16S ribosomal RNA". It matches the Rfam family "Bacterial small subunit ribosomal RNA", at positions 30 to 507 of the family's 1533-position model. The record is from RNAcentral.
AUUGAACGCUGGCGGCAGGCCUAACACAUGCAAGUCGAGCGGAUGAAGGGAGCUUGCUCCUGGAUUCAGCGGCGGACGGGUGAGUAAUGCCUAGGAAUCUGCCUGGUCGUGGGGGCUAACGUCCGGAAACGGGAGCUAAUACCGCAUACGUCCUGAUGGUGAAAGUGGGGGAUCUUCGGACCUCACGCUAUCAGAUGAGCCUAGGUCGGAUUAGCUAGUUGGUGGGGUAAAGGCCUACCAAGGCGACGAUCCGUAACUGGUCUGAGAGGAUGAUCAGUCACACUGGAACUGAGACACGGUCCAGACUCCUACGGGAGGCAGCAGUAGGGAAUAUUGGACAAUGGGCGAAAGCCUGAUCCAGCCAUGCCGCGUGUGUGAAGAAGGUCUUCGGAUUGUAAAGCACUUUAAGUUGGGAGGAAGGGCAGUAAGUGAAUACCUUGCUGUUUUGACGUUACCAACAGAAUAAGCACCGGCUAACUUCGUG